Molecule: ribosomal RNA, 497 nt
Filed under: uncultured bacterium
Lineage: Bacteria
Description: partial 16S ribosomal RNA
Rfam family: Bacterial small subunit ribosomal RNA
Source: RNAcentral
GAUGAACGCUGGCGGCGUGCCUAAUACAUGCAAGUCGAGCGAACAGACGAGGAGCUUGCUCCUCUGAUGUUAGCGGCGGACGGGUGAGUAACACGUGGAUAAUCUACCUAUAAGACUGGGAUAACUUCGGGAAACCGGAGCUAAUACCGGAUAACAUGUUGAACCGCAUGGUUCAACAGUGAAAGACGGUCUUGCUGUCACUUAUAGAUGGAUCCGCGCCGCAUUAGCUAGUUGGUAAGGUAACGGCUUACCAAGGCAACGAUGCGUAGCCGACCUGAGAGGGUGAUCGGCCACACUGGAACUGAGACACGGUCCAGACUCCUACGGGAGGCAGCAGUAGGGAAUCUUCCGCAAUGGGCGAAAGCCUGACGGAGCAACGCCGCGUGAGUGAAGAAGGUCUUCGGAUCGUAAAACUCUGUUAUUAGGGAAGAACAAAUGUGUAAGUAACUAUGCACGUCUUGACGGUACCUAAUCAGAAAGCCACGGCUAACUACGUG